Long non-coding RNA from Pecten maximus, 416 nucleotides. RefSeq lists it as uncharacterized. Lineage: Eukaryota; Metazoa; Mollusca; Bivalvia; Pectinida; Pectinidae. The transcript has 3 exons. The record is from RefSeq and is a predicted model, not a curated record.
CACUAAAUGUUUUUCACGCAGUUUUAUGGAGAAGUCAGGAAGCCUAACUCUCACUAGCUUGGUGUGUCUGUUAUAGACGCUAUCUACGUCUCCGCUCACACAUCUCCACAAUUAUUGUGUGGCAAAACACAGCGAUAAGCUUCGUUCACCAACACUAGGUACAGAGACGUCGAACAACUUCUAGUGAGACAAAGCUGUGGAGCAGAUGGAAGGAGGACUCGGACGGACGCAUCCAAGUACCCACGAUUACUGUCCCUGGGACCUGAUAACCAUCCUAUUAUGACAGAAUCCAAAUGGCGACAGCGGACACUCCUUGAAUUUCGAAUGUGACGAUGGACGUCAUUGGUCAGAUGCUUCUUCAAACAAGCAAAACUAGAGAAAAAACAAUCAGAAUAUUUCAAAUGCAUGAAACGAAG